UUCAGUCCUACUUGAUAACCAAUAACCAUUCUAGGUUCUACCCCGAGAAGGAAUGGUGGUAUUGCUUUUGAAUAUAGGAAGGUAAUAUAGGAUCCAUGGUUGAUAUGGCUGAACUUAGGUGGAGCUAAUCUUUUAGCUACCAUCUUCAUCAAAGGUCAUGAUCCUUAGCAUUUCUACAUGUUGGAUUUCAUUUUAGCCUAUGUUUGGUUA
Molecule: long non-coding RNA, 210 nt
Filed under: Elaeis guineensis (African oil palm)
Lineage: Eukaryota; Viridiplantae; Streptophyta; Magnoliopsida; Arecales; Arecaceae
Description: long non-coding RNA (EGUI_LNC076654)
Source: RNAcentral